CCUACGCUUGCACGUGUCACCAUUUCCACCUUGGUUUGAUCCUGGACUCAGGACGAACGUUGACGGUGUGCCUAAUACAUGCAAGUCGAACGUGCAAUACUGGAGUAGCAAUACUUUUGUAAAGCAAGUGGCGAACGGGUGAGUAACGCGUGGGUAAUCUGCCCAGAAGAUUGGGAUAACUUCUUGAAAGGGAAGCUAAUACCAAAUAUUCUAUAUUAUUUUAGUAAUGAUAUAGCAAAGGUAGCCGCAAGGCUUCUGCUUUUGGAUGAGCCCGCGUCCUAUUAGCUAGUUGGUAGGAUAAAAGCCUACCAAGGCUAUGAUGGGUAGCCGGCCUGAGAGGGCGAUCGGCCACACUGGGACUGAGAUACGGCCCAGACUCCUACGGGAGGCAGCAGUAGGGAAUAUUGCGCAAUGAGCGAAAGCUUGACGCAGCAACACCGUGUGUAGGAUGAAGGUCUUCGGAUCGUAAACUACUGUCGGUUGAGGACGAAGGUAGUAAAGUUAAUAGCUUGAAUACUGACGGUACUCAAUGAGGAAGUCUCGGCUAACUCCGUGCCAGCAGCCGCGGUAAGACGGAGGAGGCUAACGUUGUCCGGAAUUAUUGGGCGUAAAGAGCACGUAGGCGGUUCUAUAAGUCGUGUGUGAAAACUUUGGGCUUAACUCAAAGAUUGCAUUCGAUACUGUGGAGCUUGAGUACAGUAGAGGAAAGUGGAAUUCCUGGUGUAGCGGUGAAAUGCGCAGAUAUCAGGAAGAACACCAGUGGCGAAGGCGGCUUUCUGGACUGUUACUGACGCUGAGGUGCGAAAGCUAGGGGAGCGAACAGGAUUAGAUACCCUGGUAGUCCUAGCUGUAAACGAUGGAUACUAGGUGUGGGAAGUUAUCGAUGCUUUCUGUGCCGAAGCUAACGCAUUAAGUAUCCCGCCUGGGGAGUACGGCCGCAAGGCUAAAACUCAAAGGAAUUGACGGGGGCCCGCACAAGCGGCGGAGCAUGUGGCUUAAUUCGACGCAACGCGAAGAACCUUACCAAGGCUUGACAUCGUAUUGACAAAUGCAGAAAUGUAUCUCCUUCGGGCAAUAUGACAGGUGGUGCAUGGCUGUCGUCAGCUCGUGUCGUGAGAUGUUGGGUUAAGUCCCGCAACGAGCGCAACCCUUUUCCCAUGUUGCCAGCAAUUCGGUUGGGCACUCUUGGGAUACUGCCGGUGUAAAACUGGAGGAAGGUGGGGAUGACGUCAAGUCAUCAUGCCCUUUAUGCCUUGGGCUGCACACGUGCUACAAUGGUUUGAACAAAGAGAAGCGAUACCGCGAGGUGGAGCGAAUCUCAUAAAUCAAAUCUAAGUCCGGAUUGGAGGCUGCAACUCGCCUUCAUGAAGUCGGAGUCGCUAGUAAUCGUGGAUCAGAACGCCACGGUGAAUACGUUCCCGGGCCUUGUACACACCGCCCGUCACACCACGAAAAUCGGAUACACCCGAAGCCAGUGUGCUAACUGUUUACAGAGGCAGCUGUCGAAGGUGGAGCCGGUGAUUGGGGGGAAGUCGUAUCCAGGCAGCAAACAAGUACGAAUAGGCGUCCGCUACAUC
This 1577-nucleotide ribosomal RNA is filed under the name uncultured bacterium. RNAcentral's name for it is "bacterial SSU rRNA". It matches the Rfam family "Bacterial small subunit ribosomal RNA". The record is from RNAcentral.